Molecule: long non-coding RNA, 134 nt
Organism: Pundamilia nyererei
Lineage: Eukaryota; Metazoa; Chordata; Actinopteri; Cichliformes; Cichlidae
Exons: 3
Source: RefSeq, a predicted model, not a curated record
UGAGUCUGGCAACACUCAUAACGGUUGUUCUGAUCGUCAACAUAUUGACAAAAGCUGUUGCAAAAGCAAAAAUGGAUGGAAACAUGGGGUAUAAUGAGGAAGAUGAUGAAACAGUGAAGCUGGAAAAUGCCCAG